Molecule: long non-coding RNA, 3866 nt
Filed under: Diabrotica virgifera virgifera (western corn rootworm)
Lineage: Eukaryota; Metazoa; Arthropoda; Insecta; Coleoptera; Chrysomelidae
Description: uncharacterized LOC126888371
Source: RNAcentral
GUGACUAGAGUCUGUAGCACCAAACAAAAAGAAAUUUCGCAAGGCUAUGAUUGGCCACAAAAUCCCGGCUUGCGAUUGGUUAGAAAGCUGACUGUGAUCAUAAGAUAUAACCUAGAAUUUAAAUUUUAGUUGACCGUUGUUUGUUGUUUUAAUGUCUGUGCAAUAUCCAAUAAAAAUAAACAAAAUAUAGAAGAAUAAUAAUAAUAUUAUGUAAUUGUAAUGAUUUAUAAUUUCCUAAAGAAAUAUAUGCUUUAGAAAGAUGUAACAUAUUUAAAGAGAAAAUGUAAAAUGAGAUGUAAAAUCUUGAGAAUCCAAGAGCUGCAUGUCUGAAAGCAAAAUAAAUGAAACUGAGGGCAUAGAUAGAUAACAUUUUACUGAAACACAAUGAAUAAAAUAUCACUGAAUAUGAGAAGAUAGUUCAUCAAAAGUUGGCGAUGUUUAAGAACAAUUUUGCUGCAUCCAACAAUCAUAAUCGCUGCUGUCAGUCAUACAAAGUAAACUGUGCGAAAGUUUAGUCCUAUCAAAAUUUAACUAUGGUGAUGUUGUGUAUGGGCCAUUCCACGUCUGCGCGUCUGCUCUAGACCAUCGCGACAACGAAUAUUUUAGUGUGCAACAUAAGAAGUACGAAAGUAAAUGGCUGUAAAAAUUAUUCCAAUAAAGAAGAAUGUAAUUUGCAAUUUAGUUUCGUACUUCUUAUGUUGCACACUAAAAUAUUCGUUGUCGCGAUGGUCUAGAACAGACGUAUAUUCGUGGAAUGGCCCAUAUGGACAUUGUAUUCGAUCAGAUGACAGAGGAAGAAUUCGGGGGGUUCAAAAGACACCAGCCUAUUUGUCACAAAUUUAAAACAUGUAAAAUGGUUGAGCGUGGAAAAGAGAAGAUUUCUACAUGCUGCUUGUCUGUUCCACAAAAUUAUCAAAAACUCACUACCAACAUAUCUUUUUAAAAAAGUUAUACAGUGAUGAGCGCCCUAAUAACCGGCAAAAUAACGCAAAGGUGGAAAAUAUUAAGUUGUGAGAUAAACAGAAAUGAAACUAGUGGAGGUGGUAGAUUUAGCGAUAAAAACUUAUAAGUUUACAUUUUACUUAUUGUUUCCCACCUUUAGACGUAUCAGAUGAGUAUUUCAACUAAAACUGUCACAGUGGCAGUUGCCAAACUCGUCCAAUACAUCUAAAGGUGGAAAACAAUAAAUAUAAUAUAAAUGUAUAGGUUUGUAUCGCUAAAUUUCCCACCUACACUAGUUUUAUUUCUUUUUAUCUCACAACUUAAUUUAUUAGCGCACUCAUCACUGUUUAUAGAACUGACAUAAGGGACACAGAGCAACAGUGGCCUAACUGCAAAAAACAAAGUUUUGAGAUAAAUGCAAUCUUUGCAUUCAUAUUUACAUUGUGCUUAUGGGAUGAUGCUACAAAUUAUGUAACGAUAUUUAGCCAAAUAUACAGGUAUGUUGUGUAGACCCUUGUUAAUUUGAAGAUUUAAUGUUGCUACUUUUAUUGAUGUAUUAAUCUAAAAAUGCUCAAUUUGUGCUUUUUUUCUCUUGCUUAAGAUGAAAAGUCUAGGUGCUGAUUUCUUGAAAUCGGUACCAACUGAUCUUCAGCAUUUUUUUUAGUAUUUUGUGCAUAGAGGUAUAUCGUCAUUGUCAGAGCCAAACCUCAUAUGUACAUUAUUGACAAAAUCCACUAUUUUUUUAUUUAUAAUUACAACACAUAAUACUGAUAUAAUCUUCUUAAUAUUAUUUCUAAAUUUAAAGAGUAUAGUACUUUUUAACACAUUUCGGCAAAAUGAUAUUAAUUCUGAUAAAGAUAAAAAAUAUAUAAGAGUUUUUUUCAUUUCCUGAAAAAUCUCACAACAUGCACAUAUGUACAAGAUUUGGCACUGAGGCCGACGGUAUAUGAUUAUAUUAUAUCAUGUUAUAUUUUGUGUAUUGUUUGAAUUUGAACAAAAAAUGCAGACCUUUAUUGUUAUUAUUAGAUGCAGAUAUUUCCUCUUGUAUAAUAUAGUAAGACAAAACAUUGAAUAUAAUAAGUGUUACCAAAUUAGUUCAAUUUCAAAUUUUUUUCCUAUGCAGGAACAAUGUUGUAAAUGCCAAAUCAGAUUUUGUCUACAACUUUUGAAAAACAUGCAAGUAGUAAUGAUUUGAAAAAAGCAACUUUAUGAGGAUAACAUGAUAGAUUUUAGGAUGCAUCAAGUAAAGUCUUAAUAUUCCCAAUGCUCGGCAGUACAUUAUUUUGCACAUAUAGAACUUUGUUCCUGGAAAACCAAAAUACAACUAUUGUGGUUACGCAAACAUUGUUCCAGCAUAGGAUUCAAUUAUUAUCAUAGAAGACACAAUUUUUUCAAGACAUGACUACUAUCUGAUGUAUCUCUUUUAAUUGGAAAAAUGCCAAAUGUAAUAUUCAGUCAAAUUCUUAGUGUUCCGCACACACAUACACACACUUUGUCUAGAUCUAGAGUGAUGCGUAGCUAUUUUUCCACUCUAUGAGUUAAAGAUUAAGGACAGGUUGUUCUUCCAACAUGUUUAUUCUUUUCUUGAACCAAACGAAUUAAGGUUUGUCAGGUUUGACAGCUAUCUUCCACUACAUAAACUUUAUUAAAUUAAAAGCUUCAUGUAGAUUUGUUGCAGUACAUCCUUCAUUUUGUAUAUUUGGCAGCUAUUACUGUAUUUCAUACAUACAGAAUUACAAUAAUCGUGGCAGUACUAGCUGUUCUCAUGUUUUGAAUAAAUAUUAUAAUUUCCAACUAAUAACAUAUUAAAAUAAUAUAAUAUGACCAGGGGUUUUCUGUAGCUUGUAGAUUAUAUGUGUAUUAGAGCACUAUUUUCCAUAGUUAAAAAUAUUAUUUUAUGUAUAAAUUUUAUGAAAUAAAAGCACAUACUUAUCUAAAAACAAAUUUAUUUUAUUUUACAAAAAGUACAUCUCAAGUAUAUUUUGAAAUAUUAUAUAGAAUGAGUAGAGAAUGAAAGAGUAUAUCUAUUGGAGAAUACACAGGAAUACUGAGAACAAAUAGAGAAGCAGGGAUCUAUAUAAAGAUGAUCAACUCUAGGAACUCGUUCACUAAACCCCUAACAAAACAGAAAAAAAACCUGAUAUACUUGAAAAUUAAGUCAGACUGGUGAUCAAACUCAAAUUUAACAAACCACCAGGUCCAACAAUUAAAAUACUUUGAAGAUGCUAUAAGACCAGAUACAGAAAACAUGGAAACACUCAUAAAGAAACGUAACUAGAAAGCAAUAGAAAAUUUUAAAGAUUUGUUUACGAAAACUAAAGAUUGGUUCCCACAUAAUAAAUUUGGCAAAUGUAACACUGUUUAUAGAAUAGAAUAUCUUUAUUAAUUCAUUUAGAUGAUAGUGUGCUUAGCGAAAACACCGUAUCUGCAGACAUCACAUGAGUAAAAUCAAUUUUUGUUAAAGUAUUCGUAUACAUUUACACAAGAUACGGCAUAAGAUGCGGUGUGUUUAAUGUGUUUUGGUUUAACUUACGUCAUUUUUAGUAAGCAAAUAAGACAUAUAUGCACAUUUGGGUUAGAAAGAAGUAAAAAUUUAAUUUUUGCAGAUACAGUGUUUUCUCUAAGCACUGCAGUAUAGGACAAGCCAUAUAUGUAGUUACAUAGAACAUAAUCAACAAGUCAUACAGGACAGUUAUAUAAAACAUAAUCAACAAACUAUAAAUUAAUAAAAAAAGAUAUGCAAUAUAGAGUGUCUCUGAACCCGUCGGUCCUCAUUCCUUGUAGUCUUUUAUUAAGUCAAAGUAAUCAUUUAGGUUGUAAACACAUAAUUCUAUCAAGCAUGAUUUUAAUUUAUUUUUGAAUAUUAUUUUCAUUUCUCAUAUCAAGUGGCAAACAAUUGUAAAAUUUAGAUCCUGUAAAAUCAG